This 392-nucleotide ribosomal RNA is filed under the name uncultured bacterium. RNAcentral describes it as "partial 16S ribosomal RNA". It matches the Rfam family "Bacterial small subunit ribosomal RNA", at positions 523 to 918 of the family's 1533-position model. The record is from RNAcentral.
AUACGGAGGAUCCGAGCGUUAUCCGGAUUUAUUGGGUUUAAAGGGUGCGCAGGCGGCCAUUUAAGUCAGCGGUUAAAUCGUGGGGCUCAACCCCAUUCUGCCGUUGAUACUGGGUGGCUUGAUUGCGGUCGAGGUUGGCGGAAUUCGUUGUGUAGCGGUGAAAUGCAUAGAUAUGACGAAGAACACCGAUUGCGUAGGCAGCUGACCAGACCGCAAAUGACGCUCAUGCACGAAAGUGCGGGGAUCGAACAGGAUUAGAUACCCUGGUAGUCCACGCAGUAAACGAUGAUCACUAGCUGUUUGCGAUACAUUGUAAGCGGCACAGCGAAAGCGUUAAGUGAUCCACCUGGGGAGUACGCCGGCAACGGUGAAACUCAAAUGAAUUGACGGGG